This 498-nucleotide ribosomal RNA is filed under the name uncultured bacterium. RNAcentral's name for it is "partial 16S ribosomal RNA". It matches the Rfam family "Bacterial small subunit ribosomal RNA", at positions 28 to 507 of the family's 1533-position model. The record is from RNAcentral.
GACGAACGCUGGCGGCGUGCCUAAUACAUGCAAGUCGAGCGGACGAAUCGAAAGCUUGCUUUUGAUUCGUUAGCGGCGGACGGGUGAGUAACACGUGGGCAACCUGCCCUGUAGACGGGGAUAACACCGAGAAAUCGGUGCUAAUACCGGAUAACACGAAAUGUCGCAUGACGUUUCGUUGAAAGACGGCGCAAGCUGCCGCUACAGGAUGGGCCCGCGGCGCAUUAGCUAGUUGGUGAGGUAACGGCUCACCAAGGCGACGAUACGUAGCCGACCUGAGAGGGUGAUCGGCCACACUGGGACUGAGACACGGCCCAGACUCCUACGGGAGGCAGCAGUAGGGAAUCUUCCGCAAUGGACGAAAGUCUGACGGAGCAACGCCGCGUGAGCGAAGAAGGCCUUCGGGUCGUAAAGCUCUGUUGUUAGGGAAGAACAAGUAACGCAGUAACUGGCGUUACCGUGACGGUACCUAACGAGAAAGCCACGGCUAACUACGCG